AAAGGUAAGCUACUAAGAGCGAAUGGUGGAUGCCUUGACUGGUAAAGGCGAUGAAGGACGUACUAGACUGCGAUAAGCUACGGGGAGCUGUCAAGAAGCUUUGAUCCGUAGAUUUCCGAAUGGGGCAACCCAAUGUAUAGAGAUAUACAUUACCUAUAUAGGAGCGAACGAGGGGAAUUGAAACAUCUUAGUACCCUCAGGAAAAGAAAUCAAUAGAGAUUGCGUCAGUAGCGGCGAGCGAAAGCGCAAGAGGGCAAACCCAGUGCUUGCACUGGGGGUUGUAGGACUGCAAUGUGCAAGAGGUGAGUUUAGCAGAACAUUCUGGAAAGUAUAGCCAUAGAGGGUGAUAGUCCCGUAUGCGAAAAACAAACCUUAGCUAGCAGUAUC
Molecule: ribosomal RNA, 387 nt
Filed under: Campylobacter coli
Lineage: Bacteria; Pseudomonadati; Campylobacterota; Epsilonproteobacteria; Campylobacterales; Campylobacteraceae
Description: partial 23S ribosomal RNA
Rfam family: Bacterial large subunit ribosomal RNA
Source: RNAcentral